Non-coding RNA from Lonchura striata (white-rumped munia), 1005 nucleotides. Lineage: Eukaryota; Metazoa; Chordata; Aves; Passeriformes; Estrildidae. The record is from RefSeq and is a predicted model, not a curated record.
CUCCUGGAAGGAAUCUGCUUCCCUGUGGGACUGCCCAGCUUUCAGCCCUGCUGCUGGGGGAAGGUUCACCUGCAUUUACAAUAUUAUUUGUGAGAAGAAACCUGGGUGUGCUCAUUUCUUGCUGAGGUUUCCCUCACUGCUCUUCUCUCCAGCUCUGCAGAGACCUGCCUGACUCACUGCAGGACUUGGAAACAGCCCCCAGGGAUGGCUCAGCUCAGAAGAAGAGAUCACAGACACACACUCCUCACUUCCACCCAAUUCCACGCUGCUUGCAACUGGAACAGGGGAAAACCUCUGCAGCUUGUGGCCUCUGACAGAUGGCCAGGAAUGGGAUCCCCCACGUUCUCCUCCCAGUCUGAGAAGACAAGAAAAUAAACAAGGAAAAUGUCUGUGCUGAUGGCAUCUGUUGGCUCCAUCAUAAGAUCAAACAUUGCCGUGGGUUUGGGGUCCCAGGGAGUGGAGCACCUCGGACUUCUGAGCCCUUGCCGUGGUGAAAAGCUGCAGACAGAACUCCCCAGCAAAUGUCUUCAUAAUACUUAACAUUCAAUGGAGCAAAAGGAGAAUAAUGAGCACUGCAGCCAUCCCAGGUACCUGUACGCUCAUUUUCCUGGAUUUCUGACUUGGAAAGCCUCUCUGUGAUGCAGUACCUGCUCCCGAGGGUUUUCCUGGCUUCAGGUGGGAGUCUCCACUUUAAUGAAGCCUUUGGCUGAUGGAGGGAAAAGGAUGGAGUCACAUUUCUCUGGAGAAGAGGAGGGAACAAUCCAAAACUCCUGUCCCAAACUCAGGGAGCUCAGGAGGUUGAAAUAACCUGAUGAAGAACCACAGCUCACGCAACCAAAUCAGGUGUAAGAAAACUCCAUCUAAUACCUUCUGCUCCAAGAAUGUGCUUUCAGCCAGCGGAGCAGUAAUUAAGAGAUGAUUCCCCCCUCCUCUCCACUGGAGAGGCAGCUUGUGUUGAAAAACCAGCCCUUCACAAGGAGGGAGAACCAUCUGUCCUCUCUCUGA